AAUAAAAGUUAUAAUACAUAUUAUACAUUAGUAAGUGACUUAUUAAUUUGUACUUACUUUCCUUUCCUUUUUAAAACAUUAUACGUCCAACGAUAGAAAUAUUUUUACAAUGUGGAGCUUGUGACCUAUGAAAUCACAGACCGACACAUUACAAUGUAAUCCAUGUGUUAAAAGUACAAAAAAUGAAAUGUCAAUUAUAAGUAAAG
This 206-nucleotide long non-coding RNA is filed under the name Mytilus galloprovincialis (Mediterranean mussel). The record is from RNAcentral. Lineage: Eukaryota; Metazoa; Mollusca; Bivalvia; Mytilida; Mytilidae.